This 624-nucleotide ribosomal RNA is filed under the name Lactarius scoticus. Its description in RNAcentral is "partial large subunit ribosomal RNA". Lineage: Eukaryota; Fungi; Basidiomycota; Agaricomycetes; Russulales; Russulaceae. The record is from RNAcentral.
AGCAUAUCAAUAAGCGGAGGAAAAGAAACUAACAAGGAUUCCCCUAGUAACUGCGAGUGAAGCGGGAAAAGCUCAAAUUUAAAAUCUGGYGGUCUUUGGCCGUCCGAGUUGUAAUUUAGAGAAGCGUCUUCCGCGCCGGACCGUGCACAAGUCUCCUGGAAUGGAGCGUCAUAGAGGGUGAGAAUCCCGUCUUUGGCACGGAUGCCUGGUGCUCUGUGAUGCGCUCUCGAAGAGUCGAGUUGUUUGGGAAUGCAGCUCAAAAUGGGUGGUGAACUCCAUCUAAAGCUAAAUAUUGGCGAGAGACCGAUAGCGAACAAGUACCGUGAGGGAAAGAUGAAAAGCACUUUGGAAAGAGAGUGAAACAGUACGUGAAAUUGUUGAAAGGGAAACGCUUGAAGUCAGUCGCGUCGACCGAGACUCAGCCUUGCCUCGGCUUGGUGUACUUCUCGGCCCGACGGGUCAGCGUCAAUUUUGCCCCUCGGAUAAUGGCAAGGGAAAGGUGGCACCUUUACGGGUGUGUUAUAGUCUCCUGUCGCAUGCGAGGGUUGGGAUUGAGGAACUCAGCGCGCACCUUUGGUGUCGGGGCUUCGGCCCACGUCACGCGCUUAGGAUGCUGGCGUAAUG